AACGAGGAAUUCCUAGUAAGCGCAGGUCAUCAGCCUGCGUUGAUUAAGUCCCUGCCCUUUGUACACACCGCCCGUCGCUCCUACCGAUUUCGAGUGGUCCGGUGAACCCUUUGGACCGGAAGCGUCUUGAACGCUGCUGGAAAGUCGAGUAAACCACAUCACUUAGAGGAAGGAAAAGUCGUAACAAGGUUUCC
Molecule: ribosomal RNA, 194 nt
Filed under: Helicostomella subulata
Lineage: Eukaryota; Ciliophora; Spirotrichea; Tintinnida; Metacylididae
Description: partial small subunit ribosomal RNA
Rfam family: Eukaryotic small subunit ribosomal RNA
Source: RNAcentral